AGCGAGUUGCCGGAGUGGCUAAACGGUCUUCGUUGGAAACGAAGUGGUCCCGAAAGGGGCACGAGGGUUCGAAUCCCUCACUCGCUGCCA
RNAcentral lists this transfer RNA (90 nucleotides) under Gammaproteobacteria bacterium. RNAcentral's name for it is "tRNA-Ser". It matches the Rfam family "tRNA". Rfam says of the family: Transfer RNA (tRNA) molecules are approximately 80 nucleotides in length. Their secondary structure includes four short double-helical elements and three loops (D, anti-codon, and T loops). Lineage: Bacteria; Pseudomonadati; Pseudomonadota; Gammaproteobacteria. The record is from RNAcentral.